This is a long non-coding RNA of Oncorhynchus tshawytscha (Chinook salmon), 1090 nucleotides long. The record is from Ensembl. Lineage: Eukaryota; Metazoa; Chordata; Actinopteri; Salmoniformes; Salmonidae.
AUAUACUCUAUAUAUUCAAAAGUAUGUGGACACCCCUUCAAAUGCGUGGAUUCAGCUAUUUCAUGACAUUGACAUUAAUGCCCAUGAUUUUGGAAUGAGAUGUUCGAUGAGCAGGUGACCACAUACUUUUGGUCGUGUAGUGUACAUUGCAGAUCUUUAUGUGAGAAAUUACCUGAUAUGUGCUGCAUUUUCAGGGCAAGAAGAGACUGUUAACACAAUGGUUUCUGGGAUUGCAGCAGGAACUUCUGGGGUCCUUUUGCUUAUCAGCCUGAUCAGUGUUUUUCGAUGGAGGAGAAACUCGAGGCUCCACGAUGGACUUGAAAGGACAGACAGUCCACAGGGACAGAACUCCCCGGUUGGGACAGUGUGUACUAACCAGGCCACAGCCGGAGAGGAACCAGAGGAACCUGCAGAAGACCAGCCUGAAGAGAUCCACUACGGUGACAGACUUCUCCAAACUACAGACCAAAGAGACCCCAGCUGCAGCCCAGGACAGGGUCCAGGGACAGGAGAGUGAGUACGCUGAAGUCAAUGUGACUGGGAGAGGGGCUCAGGAACCACCUCUUAACAACCUAGAUGGGCUUUAUGCACAAGUCAAUAAAAGAGGUGCAUGUUAAUUUUUUAAAAGUGUUUUUAUGUACAGUAUUGUCAUUGUGUAUCUGUUUCUAUUGGUACUUUUGUUACAUUUAUAAUUGUGUGCUCUUUAAUUAUCUGCAUAUUUGUAGAAUUUGCUGGGAUGAAAAGUGUUUAACUGUUACUAUAGUGGUGAUAUGAUGAUGCAGGCUACUCUUUAUUUUGGACCAUUUAUUUUGAGUGUUGAGUUCACAGAGCAUCUGUUUAAUGGGUUCCAGUAUAGAGGAACUGCUGAGUUCAACUAGCUCACUGAAGGCAGUUUAAGACCAUAUAAAGUCAAUGAUGACUGAGGAGAGAAGACACAGUUAGUUGGAGAGACAGUGGUCUGAUACAAGACAGGAAGUUGGUGCAGGAAGUCUACAUUACGGCAGAAUGGUGUUAACAUCUACUAGUCACUGUUUCUCUUAAUAUUUUGUGCAGUUACCAGAAUAACAAUAUUAUCUAUUUUCAGUUUAUA